Molecule: ribosomal RNA, 497 nt
Filed under: uncultured bacterium
Lineage: Bacteria
Description: partial 16S ribosomal RNA
Rfam family: Bacterial small subunit ribosomal RNA
Source: RNAcentral
GAUGAACGCUGGCGGCGUGCCUAGUACAUGCAAGUCGAGCGAACGGACGAGAAGCUUGCUUCUCUGAUGUUAGCGGCGGACGGGUGAGUAACACGUGGAUAACCUACCUAUAAGACUGGGAUAACUUCGGGAAACCGGAGCUAAUACCGGAUAAUAUUUUGAACCGCAUGGUUCAAAAGUGAAAGACGGUCUUGCUGUCACUUAUAGAUGGAUCCGCGCUGCAUUAGCUAGUUGGUAAGGUAACGGCUUACCAAGGCAACGAUGCAUAGCCGACCUGAGAGGGUGAUCGGCCACACUGGAACUGAGACACGGUCCAGACUCCUACGGGAGGCAGCAGUAGGGAAUCUUCCGCAAUGGGCGAAAGCCUGACGGAGCAACGCCGCGUGAGUGAUGAAGGUCUUCGGAUCGUAAAACUCUGUUAUUAGGGAAGAACAUAUGUGUAAGUAACUGCGCACAUCUUGACGGUACCUAAUCAGAAAGCCACGGCUAACUACGUG